ACAAAAACAAAAACAAAAAACCAGAAAGCCAAGCUGGGCACGGUGGCUCACACCUGUAAUUCCAGCACUUUGGAAGGCUGAGGUGGGCGGAUUACGAGGUGAAGAGUUCGAGACCAGCCUGGCCAACAUGGUGAAACCCCCGUCUCUACUAAGAAUACAAAAAUUAGCCGAGCAUGGUGGCGGGUGCCUGUAAUCCCAGCUACUUGGGAGGGUGAGGCAGGAGAAUUGCUUGAACCCGGGAGGUGGAGGUUGCAGUGAGCCAAGAUCACGCCACUGCACCCCAGCCUGGGCGACAGAGCAAGACUCUUUUCUUGGGGAAAAAAAAAAAAAAACAGAAAGAAAGCUGGGCACGGUGGCUCAUGCCUGUAAUUCCAGCACUUUGGGAGGCUGAGGCGGGUGGAUCACCUGAGGCCAGGAGUUUGAGACCAGCCUGGUCAACAUGGUGGAACCUCAUCUCUACUAAAAAUACAAAAAAAUUAGCUGAGCGUGGUGGCAGGCACCUGUAGUCCCAGCUACUCUGGGAGGCUGAGGCAGGAGAAUGGCUUGAACCCGGGAGACGGAGGGUGCAGUGAGCUGAAAUCACGCCACUGCACUCCAGUCUGGGUGACAAGAGAGAAACUCCGUCUAAAAAAAAAAAAAAAUUGCCAGCCAUGGUGGCACACGCCUGUAGUCCUGGCUAUUUAGGAAGCUGAGGCAGGAGAAUUGCUUGAACCCAGGAGGCAGAGGUUGCAGUGAGCCGAGAUCGCGCCACUGCACUCCAGCCUGGGUGACAGAGCAGGACUCCGUCUUGGGGGGAAAUAAAAAUAGAAAGAAAGAAAGCCGGGCACAGUGGCUCACACCUGUAAUCCCAGCACUUUGGGAGGCCGAGGCGGGUGGAUCACCUGAGGUCAGGAGUUCGAGACCAGCCUGGUCAACAUGGCUAAACCUCAUCUCUACUAAAAAUACAAAAAAUUAGCUGAGCGUGGUGG
This 968-nucleotide long non-coding RNA is filed under the name Homo sapiens (human). Its description in RNAcentral is "HSALNT0007031". Lineage: Eukaryota; Metazoa; Chordata; Mammalia; Primates; Hominidae. The record is from RNAcentral.